This 891-nucleotide long non-coding RNA is filed under the name Equus caballus (horse). Its description in RNAcentral is "lncRNA (ENSECAG00000045322.1)". Lineage: Eukaryota; Metazoa; Chordata; Mammalia; Perissodactyla; Equidae. The record is from RNAcentral.
GCUCAAUUCACUACCAGGUUCUGUAGCUGCAUCUCUCUGUGUGUGCUCGGGUGGGGUGGGGACAGAGGUCAUCACUGCGGCAGUGUGGAGCACCCACCCCCAGAAGAGCAAGGCCAAGCAUGCGUGGUGAACUUGGCCUCGAGAAUGGAGACACACUGGGAAAGCGAGGGUUAACUUUUCCAGGCCUGGGACAGCCCGCCUCCUUGUGGAAGAGACCCUGGGCUGGCAGGGUGGGACCAUCUUUGUUCAGCCCCCUGGGUCUAGACAAAGUGGGUCAUUUGGGAUACCUCUGAAUGCCUGGCGUGUUCCACUCAGGUCACUCUGGCUGCUGUGAGGAAACUAAAUUGAAGGGGACAAGACUGGACGGCGAGGGACCAGCUGGGAAGCUCUUGAGAAAUGGUUUGGAAUGUCUGUUUGCCGUCAAUGUCAACCUGACUCGGAGAACAUCCAGCUCGGAGAGGCCUGCUGGGUCUGGCAGGGGACACGGGGCUGAGCGAUGGGAGCAGGCCACACAUGGAGCCCCCAGCCCCUUUCACAGUCCUCUGUGUUGGAGACCCCAACCCAGGCACGUGGCCACACUGGGCCCUGGCAUCAAGUACUAGAUGGGUGUCAGGCCGCUGAGGUCCGUGGGUCCUCUGGAGCUCUCGGCCCAGGCUCCCUGCCCCUCCCUCCUGCCCUUUCCUUUGGCAGGAUAUGAGGAACCCUGGGCCCUCCUCCAAGGAGCCGCCCCUUCUUUCUGGGCCUUUGAUCACAUAGGUCUCUCCACCUGACAUGACCUCUCCCACCUCCCAUCUCCACCCGUCCAAACCCUUCCCAUCCAUGGGAGAUCUCAGCUCUGCAGCCAGAUGGCUUAGAUUUGCAUCUAACCUCCGCCGUUUCUAGCUGUGUUGC